CUCGUAGGCGGUUCGUCGCGUCCGGUGUGAAAGUCCAUCGCUUAACGGUGGAUCCGCGCCGGGUACGGGCGGGCUUGAGUGCGGUAGGGGAGACUGGAAUUCCCGGUGUAACGGUGGAAUGUGUAGAUAUCGGGAAGAACACCAAUGGCGAAGGCAGGUCUCUGGGCCGUCACUGUCGCUGAGGAGCGAAAGCGUGGGGAACGAACA
This 207-nucleotide ribosomal RNA is filed under the name uncultured bacterium. Its description in RNAcentral is "partial 16S ribosomal RNA". It matches the Rfam family "Bacterial small subunit ribosomal RNA", at positions 568 to 774 of the family's 1533-position model. The record is from RNAcentral.